Molecule: ribosomal RNA, 262 nt
Filed under: uncultured archaeon
Lineage: Archaea
Description: partial 16S ribosomal RNA
Rfam family: Archaeal small subunit ribosomal RNA
Source: RNAcentral
CAGCCGUAAACAAUGUGCGUUAGGUGUGUCGGUAACCACGCGUUACUGAUGCGCCGAAGAGAAAUCGUGAAACGCACCACCUGGGAAGUACGGUCGCAAGGCUGAAACUUAAAGGAAUUGGCGGGGGGAGCACCACAACAGGCGGAGCCUGCGGUUUAAUUGGAUUCAACGCCGGACAUCUCACCGGAUAAGACAGCUGAAUGAUUGUCAAUCUGAAGGUUUUACAUGACUAGCUGAGAGGAGGUGCAUGGCGUCAGUGACU